UAGGGAAUUUUCCACAAUGGACGAAAGUCUGAUGGAGCAACGCCGCGUGAACGAUGAAGGUCUUCGGAUUGUAAAGUUCUGUUGUCAGGGACGAACAAGUACCGUUCGAAUAGGGCGGUACCUUGACGGUACCUGACGAGAAAGCCACGGCUAACUACGUGCCAGCAGCCGCGGUAAUACGUAGGUGGCAAGCGUUGUCCGGAAUUAUUGGGCGUAAAGCGCGCGCAGGCGGCUAUGUAAGUCUGGUGUUAAAGCCCGGGGCUCAACCCCGGUUCGCAUCGGAAACUGUGUAGAUUGAGUGCAGAAGAGGAAAGCGGUAUUCCACGUGUAGCGGUGAAAUGCGUAGAGAUGUGGAGGAACACCAGUGGCGAAGGCGGCUUUCUGGUCUGUAACUGACGCUGAGGCGCGAAAGCGUGGGGAGCAAACAGG
Molecule: ribosomal RNA, 429 nt
Filed under: Bacillota bacterium
Lineage: Bacteria; Bacillati; Bacillota
Description: Firmicutes bacterium partial 16S ribosomal RNA
Rfam family: Bacterial small subunit ribosomal RNA
Source: RNAcentral